CGACGCCUACGGGGGGCAGCAGUGGGGAAUAUUGGGCAAUGGGCGCAAGCCUGACCCAGCAACGCCGCGUGAAGGAAGAAGGCUUUCGGGUUGUAAACUUCUUUUCUCAGGGACGAAGCAAGUGACGGUACCUGAGGAAUAAGCCACGGCUAACUACGUGCCAGCAGCCGCGGUAAUACGUAGGUGGCAAGCGUUAUCCGGAUUUACUGGGUGUAAAGGGCGUGUAGGCGGGACUGCAAGUCAGAUGUGAAAACCAUGGGCUCAACCUAUGGCCUGCAUUUGAAACUGUCCGGCUGGAGUGCAGG
Molecule: ribosomal RNA, 305 nt
Filed under: uncultured bacterium
Lineage: Bacteria
Description: bacterial SSU rRNA
Rfam family: Bacterial small subunit ribosomal RNA
Source: RNAcentral